This 253-nucleotide ribosomal RNA is filed under the name uncultured bacterium. RNAcentral's name for it is "partial 16S ribosomal RNA". It matches the Rfam family "Bacterial small subunit ribosomal RNA", at positions 524 to 776 of the family's 1533-position model. The record is from RNAcentral.
UACGUAGGUGGCAAGCGUUGUCCGGAAUCAUUGGGCGUAAAGCGCGUGUAGGCGGCUAGGUAAGUCUGCUCUGAAAGCCCGGGGCUCAACCCCGGGAGGCGGGUGGAUACUGUCUAGCUCGAGUCCGGAAGAGGAGUGUGGAAUUCCUGGUGUAGCGGUGAAAUGCGCAGAUAUCAGGAGGAACACCAAUGGCGAAGGCAGCACUCUGGGACGUGACUGACGCUGAGACGCGAAAGCGUGGGGAGCAAACAGG